GAUGAACGCUGGCGGCGUGCCUAAUACAUGCAAGUCGAGCGAACAGAUGAGGAGCUUGCUCCUCUGACGUUAGCGGCGGACGGGUGAGUAACACGUGGAUAACCUACCUAUAAGACUGGGAUAACUUCGGGAAACCGGAGCUAAUACCGGAUAAUAUAUUGAACCGCAUGGUUCAAUAGUGAAAGACGGUUUUGCUGUCACUUAUAGAUGGAUCCGCGCCGCAUUAGCUAGUUGGUAAGGUAACGGCUUACCAAGGCGACGAUGCGUAGCCGACCUGAGAGGGUGAACGGCCAGACGGGAAGUGAGACACGGUCCAGACUCCUGCGGGAGGCAGCAGUAGGGAAUCUUCCGCAAUGGGCGAAAGCUUGACGGAGCAACGCCGCGUGAGUGAUGAAGGUCUUCGGAUCGUAAAACUCUGUUAUUAGGGAAGAACAGAUGUGUAAGUAACUAUGCACGUCUUGACGGUACCUAAUCAGAAAGCCACGGCUAACUACGUG
RNAcentral lists this ribosomal RNA (497 nucleotides) under uncultured bacterium. RNAcentral describes it as "partial 16S ribosomal RNA". It matches the Rfam family "Bacterial small subunit ribosomal RNA", at positions 28 to 507 of the family's 1533-position model. The record is from RNAcentral.